GAUAUUGGCGCAAUGGGUCAGUGCAUCUGACUGUUAACCAGAAGUUUGGUGGUUAGAACCCACCCAGGGACA
Molecule: non-coding RNA, 72 nt
Organism: Podarcis lilfordi (Lilford's wall lizard)
Lineage: Eukaryota; Metazoa; Chordata; Lepidosauria; Squamata; Lacertidae
Source: the annotation of a GenBank genome assembly